ACUAUAAAUUUGUGAGCAAUGUCGAGUCAGCUAUUCUUGCAAAACACCUUUCUGCCAGAUUUUCUGAAUCUCCUUUUUAUGGAUUAAUUCUUGAUGUUCAUAUGUUAUCAAUGUCUGACUUUUUUGUCUGUACUUUAUCAUCAAAUACUGCGAGACUUCUGUACGAAUUGAUGAACGUACGAUACUGGAACGCACCGGACCGUAUCAAAUCACUUGAUAUCGAAUUCGCAUAUCAUAUGGAAAGAUACAACAGAUACUUUUUGCACAACACAGAAAUGAGACGUUCUUCAAGCAGUUCAAAGUCAAAAAGGAUAUUUAAAAUCCACGGAAAAUAACGACAACACUGGACAAUAAUGCCACUGCUUUUAGAAUGCCUACAUAUUCUGAAGUUCCAAUAUUAGUCUAAAAUAUUAUGGAAACUGGUUAUUUUAGUUCUUUCCUUGUCGUAGACAAUAGAGAAUUUUGGGUAACAUAACUACAGUGUCAAAAAACUGCACUUGUUGCAAAUAUUAGUUGUUGUAAAUAAUUGAGAAGCUAAAUAUUGCACAAGUCGCUAAUACAUACGCAAAAUUUUCUAAUCGGUCACAUAGGUAGUUAUUUGAAGUAAACUACAUUUAAUAUUUAAUAUUUUGAUAUAAUUACGCAUAUUCUACGACAGUGUUACACAAUAAACGAAGUUGAACAUAAACAAUCAGGAAGCUAGAACAGAUGAAUAAAUACAUCACUAAGGAUAAAGGUCACAAAAUUAAAACUAUCACAAACUUAUCGCCGGCUAUUCUGGUCUCUUCUGUACCAGGAAAAGCUGAAAUAAAAUCCUACAUCUUUGAAUGUACUUGAAUCGAAAGUUAGCCCAAGUGAACUAGGUUACCAAGCCUAUAUUUUACGGUGACACAGUCAAACCGAGUCUGCUAUUAUGUCACUUGCCUACAUCCAAUGCUUCCAAAGGCUCUUUUCAGAUUUGAGCCGCACCAUGAGAAAACCAACAUAGUGCGUUUGCGACCAGCAUCCGCUUUCAAAGCCUAUUGCAAUUAGAGAAAUUGUUAGCGAACAGCAUGGAUCCUGACCAGACUGCUCGGAUGCGCAGGCUGGUCCGGUUCCAUGCCGGUUGCAAACGCACUAUGUUGGUUUUCCGAAGGCCGGCUCAUUUUAUCCUUGUUCCAAAACGUGCUCAAUUUGGCCUACAUUGUGUUAGAGGUUCACUUAGCAGGGGAUAACAUAUAUUUAAACUUUAUUGUAGCUUUGGAACAUAGCAGGGGCUAAGAGCACGUGUUUCAUUAAUUAUUGUAGUAAAAUGUUGACUUUGCGCUGUAAAGAAGGUCUAGACCCCCUUCCAGCGAGAUCGUAUUGUACUGCGCCCCUAAAGUAACGGAGUCAAAGGGUUGAAUGCAAAGCCCCGCGUCCAAAAUUGAUAUUUAGCUGUUAGAUAGGGGUAAACAUUACAUCUCUUGCGAGAUUUUGUAACAUUCUUUUAGUACUCUUUCAUGAGUAAAUAUAAAUUUUCGCCAAAAAUGCUCAUUUCUUUGUAAUUACAUUUGUCUAUAAGUAUACAAUUAAUGUUUUAAUUCCUACAGAGUUUAAACAUAACACGGCCGGAGAUUCUUUGCAAUACAACUUCACGUGGGAAACUAGAAUCUCACUUAACUGCUUCAUACUUAUCUGAAUUUAAUUUAUUACAAGAAAAGAAGCCGGAGCUUCAAAAUGCCGGUGCGCCAUGCUAAUUGCCCUGUUGUUGGACAGGGUCUAGUACUUAUGCCAUGGUUGAAUUAAUAUCUGAUAUUAUGAUUGUAAAUAUGACAUAUUGAAGCAUUCAAUUUCUUUUUCAAGUCUUACGUGUGUUUCAGUUAUGUUAUGAAGUAACAUUUAAAUAAUGUUUUAUGGUGAUACGUGAAGUGCUAGAAUUUUCUAUGAUGUAAAUAAGAAGCUGUCACAGGACGGGGCUGAACCUAGGGUAAAAACCUAUUGAAAAAGCCUUCCUAACUAAAUAUUACCAAUUUUGACACUAAACAUUGGAAGGAUACACAUUUACAUUUUGGAUUCAAAGAUAAAUAUUCUUUGGAUAAUCUAAAUACAGCUUGGAUUGUGUGACAAAUUUGGAAUAUUACUGAUUGGAUCUAAAUUUGAUCAGGACAGUACACUGACUACUCCUUCAUACUGUAGUUGGAUUGUACGGAGAGCGAACAUUUUCCAGACAUGGAAUGUAAACAAAUCCAGGAACUACUUAACAGUACAAGGACAUCAAACAACCUUUUUCAUUUUCCUGCAGAACAGAAAUUAUUCAACAGUAUUAUUUUCAUAAUCGGCCGCCAUAUUGAUGACGUCAUUUCCGGAUCCAGUCGCGGUCCCCAGAAGAGAUACAUACGUAUUGUUUUUGUCUCAGACCAAGGAAUAAUUUGGUAUAUGUGGCUAUAUUUCUCAACCACUUUCGAGCGGGAUUACAAAUGACCGUGGACUAUAACAUUCACAGCGAUGCCUGCCGUAUUGAUGAUGAAAGCCUUAUAUUUAUAGGCGUAAUAUUGUAAAAACAGUUUUUGUUAACAUAAUCAAAAUUUCAAAAUGAAUCGGAUGAAAUGGCGUUUUAUUUGAAAUUGAUAAAUGAGUAAAAUGGAAUAAAAAAUAAUUAAUUAACUUGCAUAUUAAUCCUCAUUUAUUCCUUGGGCUGGCAGAGUUAAUGUUCUGUCACGCCAUUGCAAGGUGCGUUGAGUAUUGUUCGCAGCAUUCAAGUAUAAGCUGUCAUAAUCCUAAGCUACUCCAGGGAUGGUUUUAUAAAAUAGUUUCAUUUUAAGAUAUCUUGAACAAUGCAGUGUUUUCUCUCUUUUAAUAUCCUAUGCAAUCUUAAAUAGAAUCUAAACAUGUGUGACAACUUUCAUAGUAAUAUUGAAAGUACUGCGUAAUGAUGAAGAAUCUUCGAGGAGUUCCAUCAUGCGUUUUCGUUAUGGUAGUUCAACAGUUCUCUGAUUUGAUAACUACUUAAAUCCUAUGAUUCUUUCAAACAGUCUGUUUCAAUUGACUUCGAGAGCCUUAUUAAAGAUCAGUUAUUUAGCAGACUGCAAAAUUUGUUAAAAAUAUUUCUUACGCAAUGGAAGUUAGAAAUUGAAGUAUUUUCAUGUAUUUUAAUGCUUUUUCGUGAGUCAAUGUAUAUAU
Molecule: long non-coding RNA, 3141 nt
Organism: Mercenaria mercenaria
Lineage: Eukaryota; Metazoa; Mollusca; Bivalvia; Venerida; Veneridae
Exons: 4
Source: RefSeq, a predicted model, not a curated record